GUGGGAGUGGCCAGGGCGGGCCACAUUUGGGCUAAAGGCCAGGUGAGGGGGCUGGGCGUCCCAGAGGAAUUGGUCUGGGGCAGGUUGGGACUGAGUCGCUGGCAGAGAGAGGGGACCACAGGAGUGUGGGUCCUUCACUCCUAGGAAAGCGCAGGAGGUGAGAGUGGACUUCCUUCUAGGGGUUCAAACACCAAGGGUGGCCUGUGGAGAGAACACAGGAUGGCAGAGCCUUGGAAAGCUAAAAAGGUGAAACCUUUCUCUUACUACUCCAUUCUCAAGGAGCCAGGACGUCUCCAGCUGAUGUAAUCUUGGCCUGGACUGUCACAGCAUCACCGGAGGUCUCAGCUGUGACCAGAGGCAAAAAUGGAGUUAUGCCUGGACAUGCCAUAGCCCCCCUGCAGGCAGGAAAACAAGGCCUAAACAUAAUUUAAUCUUGCAAUGCUUUUCCCCCAAAGUUAUGUAGACUUGCUCUUGACAUCAACCCAUGUAUAAUUUACUGUGGCAUGCGAGGCUAGAAUCUAACCUUUCUUGAGGCAGUUACCCUGGCCUGACAUUGUUUAUGAAUAACUCAUCCAUUUCACACUUAUUCAGAAUGAAAAUCCUUAUCAUAUAUUACAUUUUCAUUUUUCUCUUUUUUCUCCUGUAUCUCUUAAGAAAGAGGAUCAAGGGAUGGGUGGAGGGCAUAGAGAGGGAAGGGAAAGCAGAUGAAAAAGAAAUUAUGAUCUCUUAUGUACAUGUACCAACCUCCCACAAGGAAUGUAAGCAUUAUGUUCUACACAUAUGUACUAAUACACUAAAAUUUAAAAAUUAUCAUUCAAGAUUAAUAAAAAAUUUUAGUCAUUUGGG
Molecule: long non-coding RNA, 846 nt
Filed under: Heterocephalus glaber (naked mole-rat)
Lineage: Eukaryota; Metazoa; Chordata; Mammalia; Rodentia; Bathyergidae
Description: lncRNA (ENSHGLG00000046067.1)
Source: RNAcentral